This 301-nucleotide ribosomal RNA is filed under the name uncultured bacterium. RNAcentral's name for it is "partial 16S ribosomal RNA". It matches the Rfam family "Bacterial small subunit ribosomal RNA", at positions 509 to 807 of the family's 1533-position model. The record is from RNAcentral.
CAGUAGCCGCGGUAAAACGGAGGGGGCUAGCGUUGUUCGGAAUUACUGGGCGUACAGCGCACGUAGGCGGCUUGGUAAGUUAGAGGUGAAAGCCCAGGGCUCAGCCCUGGAAUUGCCUUUAAGACUGCCGAGCUAGUAGGUGAGAGAGGUGAGUGGAAUUCCGAGUGUAGAGGUGAAAUUCGUAGAUAUUCGGAAGAACACCAGUGGCGAAGGCGGCUUACUGGCUCGAAACUGACGCUGAGGCGCGAAAGCGUGGGGAGCGAACAGGAUUAGAUACCCCUGUAGUCCCUGUCUCUUAUAC